This 356-nucleotide long non-coding RNA is filed under the name Setaria viridis. RNAcentral describes it as "long non-coding RNA (SVIR_LNC006122)". The record is from RNAcentral. Lineage: Eukaryota; Viridiplantae; Streptophyta; Magnoliopsida; Poales; Poaceae.
AGGAGAGAGGAGAGAGGAUAAGAAGGUUAUAAAUUUAUUAGAUAUAAGAAAAAAAAAUUUAUGAGAGAGAUAAAUGGACCUUGUAUUAAAAAUUGAAGAGCUCACUAGUAUAUGGUGGGCUGAGAGGUAGACUGCAACCAGCAGCCGGUGUAUUAUUAGCCUUGAUCCUCGCGUCAGUCGGAUCAGACGAAAUCUUGGACUUAGCCUGCGCGCGCGUGCAGUGUACCUGCAGGUUUGUCUCAAGAGUUGGGUUUUACAAACACCAACCCUCCAUGCUCCACCUACGCCCUAGCUACGUGGCCAUGUCGAGGCGCUCAUGCAAGCAUGUGAGCCCCUUCACGCGCCGACGAUCAGAG